GACGAACGCUGGCGGCGUGCCUAAUACAUGCAAGUCGAGCGGAAUUAUGGGAGCUUGCUCCCAUAAUUUAGCGGCGGACGGGUGAGUAACACGUGGGCAACCUGCCUAUAAGACUGGGAUAACUUCGGGAAACCGGAGCUAAUACCGGAUAAUUCUUUUCCUCUCAUGAGGAAAAGCUGAAAGACGGUUUCGGCUGUCACUUAUAGAUGGGCCCGCGGCGCAUUAGCUAGUUGGUGAGGUAACGGCUCACCAAGGCUAAGACGGGUAGGGGACCUAAGGAGGGUCGACCCCCCA
This 294-nucleotide ribosomal RNA is filed under the name uncultured Bacillota bacterium. Its description in RNAcentral is "uncultured Firmicutes bacterium partial 16S ribosomal RNA". It matches the Rfam family "Bacterial small subunit ribosomal RNA", at positions 28 to 310 of the family's 1533-position model. The record is from RNAcentral. Lineage: Bacteria; Bacillati; Bacillota.